Anopheles merus is the source of this 1144-nucleotide long non-coding RNA. RefSeq lists it as uncharacterized. Lineage: Eukaryota; Metazoa; Arthropoda; Insecta; Diptera; Culicidae. The record is from RefSeq and is a predicted model, not a curated record. The transcript has 3 exons.
AAGGUAACGAACCUCCGAAAAACGGCACUUCAGGGUAAGACCGAAUGGGGUAAAUGUCCAGCACAAGGCACCGGAUCAAAAAAACACCACAGAAACCCUUUUUUCCCCGGAGCCAACCGGGAGGGGCCGAAAGGACCUUAAUUACCGACGACAGGGUCCCGUGUGUGAUCAUUAAGCUUCGAGGCGCCAGGUGAUGAUGAUUAGAUGGCGUGCCGGCGGGUCGCGCGAACAGCACGCGAACAGCACCGCCCGACGCCCGGGGUUGAAAGCUGUCGGCUUUCUGUGCGUGUUUUCCGGGAACUGUUUCCCUAGGGCGGUUUGCACGCCAUCGCGCUACAUUUCGAUCGUCAAAAAAAAAGGAUGAAAAGGAACACUAUGUAGCGGCUGCGGCGGCGGCGUUCUCGGGACACCAUGGCCAGGUGUCGAUCGAUCGAGCCGUGUAGUACAACUUCUCGCAUCGUUUGAUGUGACCUCGAGUAUUCUUCACGGGGGGGUGCAGCACGCGCAGGCGAAGAGAAAUAGAAAUUUAAUUUGCUGCUACCAGCCCCCGGCAGCAGUUAUCGUGAGGGAGAUCGCGGUUUUACUUCUUGUAUAAUGCAGAAUAACCUGUGUUGGAGACUACUGGAAUCCAAAUCACAUAACAUUCCCGGAAGCUUAUCGAGUGUGUCGAUGGAAAAGAUUGAAGCAAAGGAGUGAGAGAGCUACAUCCCUUGUAAGGGAGCAAAAUCUAUUGCCUGGUUCUGUAAGCUCUAUUAGCUGGGAACAAACGAUUUGCCCAGAAACACUCUGCUCUGGAAUGGAGAACGCUCCUUGAACGCUAGAGUAAGAAGAAUGAGGAAACUGAGGAGUGCCGAAAAAUAUGCCAGCAUUAAUUUGUUCACCAAAAGAUGACGCUGUCAGACGCAGUCGUAAAAUGGAUUGAACACGACUAGCACGAAAAAGCGCUUCCAGCGCUCAUUACGAUGCGGCAAAUGAUCCACGCACACGCACACUUCAUAAAUCAUGCUCAAACGUCAAUCAUUCAAUUUACCCUUUUCUCUGACGCAUUAUGAACCUGCACCGGAAGAUGCACUUUACAGCUCGGGUGACGGUGUCGGAACGAAACGAACUGCUGUGGAAUAAAUGAUUUAACCGUACACCCUAC